RNA transcript from Mus musculus (house mouse), 692 nucleotides. It is a transcript of the gene named predicted gene 9973, with no coding region annotated. The record is from RefSeq and is a predicted model, not a curated record. Lineage: Eukaryota; Metazoa; Chordata; Mammalia; Rodentia; Muridae. The transcript has 4 exons.
ACACAUACAGUCUUUGCAUGAUCAGAAGAAUGAAGAGCAAUGAGUUUCAAACAGAAGUGUGUGGAACUCAAUGAUGGCCACCUCAUGCCGGUACUGGGCUAUGGCACUUAUCAAAAUCCAGAGGUUCCUGCAAGUAAGAUUUUAGAGUCUACUAAAAUGGCAAUAGAUACUGGGUUCCACCAUAUUGAUUCUGCUUAUGUGUACAAAAAUGAAAAGGAAACAGGACAGGCUAUUUGAAGUAAGAUUGCUGAAGGUGUUUUGAAGAGAGAAGACAUAUUUCUCACUACAAAGCCUGAGGAACCAAGGGGACUCUGCAUUAGCAGCAAGGGUGGAAAACUGGAGACGAGUCAUUGCUUCUGCCUCGGUGGGAGGAGGAUCUUCUUCGUCUGAGUCCUGGAUAUCCAGCUGAUGGUAGUGGACUACAACUGGCUUACUUAAAGCAGCUUCAAUCUUCUUGUUCACCACCCAGAGUAUCCAUUUUUGGAGGAAUAUUAACAUGGGGACCUAAUCAUGACUUCUGCCUGAUGUCCCUGUGUGUGGACAGUGAUGCUGGUGAUAUGACCAAAAUGCUGUUGGAUGGAUUUGUCAUUUCUGAUCAAUCUGGGUUGCUUAGCAAUUCACAUUCAGCCGAAGCUUCAGUUAAUGAUCUCAAAGAAAAGGAAUAUAAUUUUGAUUAUGUUUUGAAAUAAAAA